This is a long non-coding RNA of Myxocyprinus asiaticus (Chinese sucker), 3323 nucleotides long. RefSeq lists it as uncharacterized. The transcript is spliced from 4 exons. NCBI's taxonomy places the organism in Eukaryota, Metazoa, Chordata, Actinopteri, Cypriniformes, Catostomidae. The record is from RefSeq and is a predicted model, not a curated record.
UAGUGACGUCAUCGUGGCGCGACAGCGCUUGACAGCGAACGAACUGCAAACUCCAGAUACACAAACACAUAAACUGAUUUAAAACAACUUAAGCAAGAGAUUCGACACACUUCUAAACUUGAACCUGUGGUGUAUAAGGCUGAAGUGUCUGCACUGGACCCAAACUCACUCUCCAGCAGCCCUUUCAUAACUUUGUCCAUUGCCCUGUGCCAAAGGUCAUGUUCCGUGCAAUGGAUAUAAUGGAGCUGAAGAUUCUUGAAAGUGUAAACAGCAGAGAAGGCAGCUCUGACCUAACAUCAUCAUCAUAGCAUCACACAGUAGAAACGGCAGUCACCAAGUCCUCCUGUCAGGCUACUGCGCAAAGGUCUGGUGGCCCCAGCAUGUUGUAUGAUCUGUGUAAGCAUUGGCUGACCACCACAAAGCAUCAUGGUCUGUCGGUGGAGCUGCAACUGAAGAUGAUGGCCGUCUGCACUGGUCAAAUGGCCCUAUCACUGCUUGGGGGCCUCAACAGUUGAGGACGAAGAGUCUGACAGUUUUCAAACAUCUGAACAUUUACACAUUAACAUGUAGCAUAGUUCUAAUAAUAAAAAAUAUAGAAUAGAAUAGAGUAGAAUAGAAUUAUUUUUGUGUUUUACAAAUAUAUUACAAAAGAUAUUGCACAAAAAAACAUUACUGAUAAUAGGUGAACAUCAAGGAUCAGAUUAAAAAAAUAAAAAAGGCAUGCCAUGACCCCUUUAAGACAUAAAGUACAUGACAGUGUUUGCAAUGUACAUACAAAGCAAUACACACAAAACAAUACUAAAUGUAGAGUAUACUGUGUGUGUGUGUGUGUGUGUGUGUGUGUGUGUGUGUUCAUGUAUAUUUGGUUUUGUGUGUGUGUGUGUUCAGGUAUGUUUGGUUGUGUGUGUGUGUGUGUGUGUGUGUGUGUGUGUGUGUGUGUGUGUGUGUGUGUGUGUGUGUGUUUUCAGGUAUAUUUGGUUUACAUGUAUGUGUGUGUGUUCAGGUAUAUUUGGUUUCGUGUGUGUGUGUGUGUGUGUGUGUGUUCAGGUAUAUUUUGUUUCAUGUAUGUGUGUGUGUGUGUGUGUGUGUGUGUGUUCAGGUAUAUUUUGUUUCGUGUGUGUGUGUGUGUGUGUUCAGGUAUAUUUUGUUUCGUGUGUGUGUGUGUGUUCAGGUAUAUUUUGUUUCGUGUGUGUGUGUUCAGGUAUAUUUAGUUUCGUGUGUGUGUGUGUGUGUUCAGGUAUAUUUGGCUUAUGAGGAUUAUUCACUAGCACUAUUCUAGAUUAUACACAUGUAAUUGUGUGUGUGUAUUCAGGUAUAUUUGGUUUACGUGUGUUAGAUUUAGCCUAAUAGUUUAAUGUUGGUGUCUAUCUUUAGUAAACUAAAGAAGUUUGGAAAGAGUGUAGUCUAUGUGGAGUCUACUGGUGUUUACAGAGAGAGUAAGUAAAUAUUGGGUGAAACAGGUUAAUGUGACAUUUUUUUUUAAGUAUUCACUAAUUAAGGAAUUAAGUAGUUUAUUCGGUUAAUUCCUCUCUUAGUUUAGUAAUAGCGACCUGUAUGACUGUGUUGUCACACAGUGGAAUGAGUCAUACUGAUUCUUUGCUAUUUAAGUGAUACAGUUUCGCCCUCUGCUGGCAUUCGCAGAUUAUCUGUGACCAUUGAUGGCCUGUCUAUACACUGAGAGCAAAUGACCACAAAACUAGAAUGCUUAUGUUAUGGAUAAUUUUGUGGAAAAAUAUACACAUUGAUUUUUUUUUUAAAGAAAUGUUUUAUUAAAUGUCGAUGGAGCAACACAAUUUUUGCGAAAGGAAAUUAUUAAAAAAACGUUUUGAUUAAAAAUCAUGUAAAUAUUAAGGCAGCUCGAGGGAUCUUUUACCCCACACAUGUGGUUAUGCAUAGGGUAAAAUUCAGAGUUUAUUUUUAUAUUGUCUGUCUACUAAAGGAUGAUACGGGUUUUAAUAUUGAAGUACACUAUUGAGUAAUAUGGGUAUUAACACAAUCACAUUGCAAUCUAGUUAAUGUAAUUAUUAACUGAUUACUGCUUUGGAGUAACAGGAGUCUCUAUGCCCUCUCAGAUUUGUGCAUGACAGGGGUGGAUCUGCUCAUCAAAGAUCUCAAAAUAAAAGAACUCAAAGAUCAGCAUCACUGGUAGCAGGUAGCAGCGGACUGGGCCAAUCAGAAGGGAGCUCCGGUGAGCGGCAGCGAUCAUGCAGUGGAGUCCCAGUCGUCGUUGCGUUUGGGGCUUCAGCUGCUCGUGGGUGACAGCAGAAUUUACCUGUGUGACGUCGGUUUGCUCCCACCAGGUGUUUCACCAUUUGGGGUGAAGUUUGUUAUUCCUCUUCAUUCAGUACAGCGGAAGAAAAAAAUGCUUUAAACUGUUAUUGCUGCUGCCAGUGCACUGUCCCUAAUGCACCAGAAUCAUGUCGCUUUCAAUUAAGUAUGCAUUGCACUUUAAAAGUAAUGAGAAUUUUGAACAAAAGAUCCUUUAGAAGUCAUAAACACGUUUUCAGAUGGUGAAAUAUGAAGGUGCCUUCUGGCUAAAUGUUAUGGAUAUAAAACAUUUGAUUUUAGAUUGGCACACCACUAACGCAUCAGUACUUGGAGGGAGAAAAUCUCAUGAAAAUAUAUCCACGUCAGAUUUCACCAGAAAAUCUAAAGAAAAAGUAAGAAAUUAUAUUUCUCAUUAAGAAAAUUAAAAGUCUAUUUUAGGUCCAUUAAUACUUAUUUGCAUUGUGAGAAAUGACUGAAAUACAUUUACUCUCAUAUCUUUGUCUAAGUACAAGACUGUGCAAAAGUUUUAGGCACUUGUGAAAAAUGUUGCAUAGUGAGGAUGUCUUCAAAAAUAAUGACAUAAAUAGUUUUCAUUUAUCAAUUAAUGUCAUAUAAAGUCCAGUAAACAUAAAAAAGCUAAAUCAAUAUUUGGUGUGACCACCUUUGCCUUUAAAACAGCACCAAUUCUCCAGGUAUACCUGGACACAGUUUUUCUUGGUUGUUGGCAGAUAGGAUAUUCCAAGCUUCUUGGAGAAUUCACCACAGUUCUUCUAUCUGUUUAGACUCUCUCAAUUGCUUCUGUCUCUAUAUGUAAUCUCAGACUGACACAAUGUUCAGUGGGGGGCUUUGUGGGGGCCAUGACAUCUGUUGCAGGGCUCCCUGUUCUUCUAUUCUAAUCUUUUCUAUUUGCAAAAGUAAUAUUUGGGAGUGUAACAUUUAUAUUUCCUAUUGACACACUAAAGCUGAAGAUAUAAAUAACCAUCUUGAGACAAAUGCUUUUGUGAAACAUGUGGCAAAGACUUUUGUAUAGUACUAUAUAUCAAGUAUUUUUAAAG